GCAGCUGUGGCCUAAUGCUUAGCGCCUCGGACUUGUAACCGGAAGGUUGCCGGUUCGAACCCCGACCAUGUA
RNAcentral lists this transfer RNA (72 nucleotides) under Alosa alosa (allis shad). Its description in RNAcentral is "tRNA-OTHER". The record is from RNAcentral. Lineage: Eukaryota; Metazoa; Chordata; Actinopteri; Clupeiformes; Clupeidae.